UUCCUACGGGGCGCAGCAGUAGGGAAUAUUGCUCAAUGGGGGAAACCCUGAAGCAGCAACGCCGCGUGGAGGAUGAAGGUUUUAGGAUUGUAAACUCCUUUUGUUAGAGAAGAUUAUGACGGUAUCUAACGAAUAAGCACCGGCUAACUCCGUGCCAGCAGCCGCGGUAAUACGGAGGGUGCAAGCGUUACUCGGAAUCACUGGGCGUAAAGAGUGCGUAGGCGGCCCUGCAAGUCAGAAGUGAAAUCCAUGGGCUUAACCCGUGAACUGCUUUUGAAACUGCAGGACUUGAGUGGAGUAGAGGG
Molecule: ribosomal RNA, 305 nt
Filed under: uncultured bacterium
Lineage: Bacteria
Description: bacterial SSU rRNA
Rfam family: Bacterial small subunit ribosomal RNA
Source: RNAcentral